This 250-nucleotide ribosomal RNA is filed under the name uncultured bacterium. RNAcentral's name for it is "partial 16S ribosomal RNA". It matches the Rfam family "Bacterial small subunit ribosomal RNA", at positions 524 to 773 of the family's 1533-position model. The record is from RNAcentral.
UACGAAGGGGGCGAGCGUUGUUCGGAAUUACUGGGCGUAAAGGGCGCGUAGGCGGCCCGACAAGUCGCAUGUGAAAGCCCCGGGCUCAACCUGGGAAUGGCGUGCGGGACUGUUGGGCUGGAGUUCGGGAGAGGAGCGUGGAAUUCCCAGUGUAGAGGUGAAAUUCGUAGAUAUUGGGAAGAACACCGGUGGCGAAGGCGGCGCUCUGGACCGACACUGACGCUGAGGCGCGAAGGCGUGGGGAGCAAAC